This 273-nucleotide ribosomal RNA is filed under the name uncultured bacterium. RNAcentral describes it as "partial 16S ribosomal RNA". It matches the Rfam family "Bacterial small subunit ribosomal RNA", at positions 523 to 796 of the family's 1533-position model. The record is from RNAcentral.
CUACGGAGGGGGCUAGCGUUGUUCGGAAUUACUGGGCGUAAAGCGUACGUAGGCGGACUGAUCAGUUGGGGGUGAAAUCCCAGGGCUUAACCCUGGAACUGCCUUCAAUACUGUCAGUCUUGAGUUUGGGAGAGGUGAGUGGAAUUCCUAGUGUAGAGGUGAAAUUCAUAGAUAUUAGGAGGAACACCAGUGGCGAAGGCGGCUCACUGGCCCAUUACUGACGCUGAGGUACGAAAGCGUGGGGAGCAAACAGGAUUAGAAACCCUAGAGUCC